UGGGGAAUUUUGGACAAUGGGCGCAAGCCUGAUCCAGCAAUGCCGCGUGAGUGAAGAAGGCCUUCGGGUUGUAAAGCUCUUUCAGUUGAGAAGAAAAAAUUGUGACUAAUAAUCACAAUUGAUGACGGUAUCAACAGAAGAAGCACCGGCUAACUACGUGCCAGCAGCCGCGGUAAUACGUAGGGUGCGAGCGUUAAUCGGAAUUACUGGGCGUAAAGGGUGCGCAGGCGGUUUUGUAAGUCAGAUGUGAAAUCCCCGGGCUUAACCUGGGAAUUGCGUUUGAAACUACAAAACUAGAGUGUAGCAGAGGGAGGUGGAAUUCCAUGUGUAGCAGUGAAAUGCGUAGAGAU
This 350-nucleotide ribosomal RNA is filed under the name uncultured bacterium. RNAcentral's name for it is "bacterial SSU rRNA". It matches the Rfam family "Bacterial small subunit ribosomal RNA", at positions 355 to 697 of the family's 1533-position model. The record is from RNAcentral.